UUUAACUUCCCGUCCUUUUCAACAAACCAAUCAUUUCCGUAAAGGAUUUUAUCUUUAUUUGACUUUCUUUCAC
RNAcentral lists this transfer RNA (73 nucleotides) under Calopogonium caeruleum. RNAcentral describes it as "tRNA-Glu". Lineage: Eukaryota; Viridiplantae; Streptophyta; Magnoliopsida; Fabales; Fabaceae. The record is from RNAcentral.